AGAGGUUUUAAUUCUAAGUGGUGUGGGUGGGUGUCUCAGAUUCUUCACGAUGGCACGGCUAGUUUCAAUAUCAAUGAUGAACUUGGGCCCUAUAUUAAAAGUGCCAAAGGGGUGCGUCAGGGUGACCCUCAUUCCCCUUUUCUGUUCAACAUGGCUGCUGAGUGUUUGACCAAGAUGGUCCUGGCUACCCAAAAAAGUAAAUUUUUCGAGGGGCUAGCGCCUGAUCUUAUUGAGGGGGGAGUGGGGAUAUUGCAGUAUGCAGACGAUACAGUAAUAUGCUUCUCCCAUGAUGUGGACAAGGCAGUGAAUGUUAAGCAGCUACUCUAUUUGUUUGAAUUGAUGUCUAGGCUAAAAAUUAACUUUGACAAAAGUGAGGGUUUUUCGAUUGGCGGGGAGAACAAUAUAGACCAAAUUUAUGCUGGGAUGUUUGGGUGCCAGAUUGGCAAGUUCCCUAUGAGAUAUUUGGGGGUCCCAGUGACGUAUGCUGUAAUGCCCUAG
This 498-nucleotide ribosomal RNA is filed under the name Triticum aestivum (bread wheat). RNAcentral describes it as "partial small subunit ribosomal RNA". The record is from RNAcentral. Lineage: Eukaryota; Viridiplantae; Streptophyta; Magnoliopsida; Poales; Poaceae.